Molecule: ribosomal RNA, 585 nt
Filed under: Sphyraena chrysotaenia (yellowstripe barracuda)
Lineage: Eukaryota; Metazoa; Chordata; Actinopteri; Sphyraenidae
Description: partial 16S ribosomal RNA
Rfam family: Bacterial large subunit ribosomal RNA
Source: RNAcentral
AGAGGUCCCGCCUGCCCACUGACUAUAUGUUUAAUGGCCGCGGUUAUUCUGACCGUGCAAAGGUAGCGUAAUCACUUGUCUUUUAAAUGGAGACUGGUAUGAAUGGCAUCACGAGGGCCUGACUGUCUCCUCUCUCUAAGUCAAUGAAAUUGAUCUCCCCGUGCAGAAGCGGGGAUACAACCAUAAGACGAGAAGACCCUAUGGAGCUUUAGGUUAUGAGUCAGACCACGUCCAUGCACCCAGAAAAACAGAUUAAACUUAAUGACUAUCUGCCUCCUAUGCCUUCGGUUGGGGCGACCAUGGAGUAACAACACCCUCCACGUGGAAUAGGAGCAUCCGUUUUACCUUGCAGAUUACACUUUCCCCUCCCUCCUAAAAUCAAGGGCCGCAGCCCUAAACAACAAAACUUUUGACCUCCCUUGAUCCGGCAAAGCCGAUUAACGAACCAAGUUACCCUAGGGAUAACAGCGCAAUCCCCUUCUAGAGUUCCUAUCGACAAGGGGGUUUACGACCUCGAUGUUGGAUCAGGACAUCCUAAUGGUGCAGCCGCUAUUAAGGGUUCGUUUGUUCAACGAUUAAAGUCCU